Molecule: ribosomal RNA, 582 nt
Filed under: uncultured Alphaproteobacteria bacterium
Lineage: Bacteria; Pseudomonadati; Pseudomonadota; Alphaproteobacteria
Description: bacterial SSU rRNA
Rfam family: Bacterial small subunit ribosomal RNA
Source: RNAcentral
GGCCUAACACAUGCAAGUCGAGCGCUACCUUCGGGUGGAGCGGCGGACGGGUUAGUAACGCGUGGGAACAUACCCUUUUCUACGGAAUAGCCUCGGGAAACUGAGAGUAAUACCGUAUAAGCCCUUCGGGGGAAAGAUUUAUCGGGAAAGGAUUGGCCCGCGUUAGAUUAGAUAGUUGGUGGGGUAAUGGCCUACCAAGUCUACGAUCUAUAGCUGGUUUUAGAGGAUGAUCAGCAACACUGGGACUGAGACACGGCCCAGACUCCUACGGGAGGCAGCAGUGGGGAAUCUUAGACAAUGGGCGAAAGCCUGAUCUAGCCAUGCCGCGUGAGUGAUGAAGGUCUUAGGAUCGUAAAGCUCUUUCGCUAGGGAUGAUAAUGACAGUACCUAGUAAAGAAGCCCCGGCUAACUCCGUGCCAGCAGCCGCGGUAAUACGGAGGGGGCUAGCGUUGUUCGGAAUUACUGGGCGUAAAGCGUACGUAGGCGGAUCAGAAAGUAUGGGGUGAAAUCCCAGGGCUUAACCCUGGAACUGCCUCAUAAACUCCUGGUCUUGAGUUCGAGAGAGGUGAGUGGAAUUGCGAG